Molecule: long non-coding RNA, 1204 nt
Organism: Quercus robur (English oak)
Lineage: Eukaryota; Viridiplantae; Streptophyta; Magnoliopsida; Fagales; Fagaceae
Exons: 2
Source: RefSeq, a predicted model, not a curated record
ACUUUAGUGUCUAAGGGUAUGUUAGGUUAGAUCUCUUUUGAUCCUUAGAUUGUAUCUCAUCCUAUCUUGGAAAGCAUUAGGCUUUGGCAUUUAAUAAUAGUGAGACUUUUGAGUCUGUGCCAUUCGAGCUCAUUCACUCUAAUGUAUGCAAAGAAUCUCCUAUUUCUACUUUGUUAGUUUUUUUAGUUAAAAUUUUUCAGAGAUAAUAUUAUAAUGAGUUUACUAAAAUGAUUGAAGGUUCUCAAAAUCCAUUAAAAUCUACUGAUUUGAAAAUGUCCUAUAGUACAAACAACAUGACUUCCUUAUGGAAUCAUUUCUUAUAUAUCUUAUUGAAGAACUUUGCAGAAAAAUGGUUGAGUAAAAUGUAAACUUUGAUAUAUUUUGUUUUCCAGACUCUCAUUCUUUUUGCAUCUAUUAUUGCAUCCUUCUCAAGCAAAACUGCACCUGCUGUUAUCCAUAGAGGAAAAUAAAUUUUUUUGAUUUAAUAAUAUAGCCACUUUACAGGAUGGUGUUAAGGAUAUUUUAGAAAAAUAAAAUAGAAGAAUUUGAAGAAAGACACAAGUUGCCAGUUUGGCUUUUUAUUCAUAAAAAAGGUUUCCAAUUUGGUAGUUCCAAUAGUAUUAUAACUACUAUUAACAUGAAUUUGAUCCAAUGAUAUUAAUUAAAAAUUUCAGCUUUAAAACAUCUGUGCAUAUGAUCAGAUUAGGUCAUGGUGAGGACUACAAAUUUCAGCUCGCAGUACGUCAAUGCCCAAAAAGUUGUAUUCAUUACAUUACACCUUCGCAGAGAUUUAUCUUAGAGGAGCUACUAGACAGAAUAUGGACAGGGGAUUGGAGAGGAGGCUUGAUCAAUGGAAAUGGGAUGGCUUUUGCAUUUCCUAAACAUAUUAUGGAUGCUCUGGUUGCCUCAUUAAAGCAGGAGGUGUAUUAAGAAUUUAGGGGGCUCAAGUUGUUAUUUACAAAGGCUUGGGCAAUGCUGCAUUUAAAUAUAUACUUGAUGCAGCGUUAAUGUGCACAGGAGAGAAUCCACAAAAAUGGCCAUCUAUGUCUUUGGUAAGGCUGAAGAAUGCAGUUUUGUAUGAGGUUAUUUUUUGACUGAGGUGUUUUCCUCGUGUUGUUGUAACUUCUUUACCGUGCAGCUAAUUUUUGCUGCUUUUGUAAUCCAUGUUUUACUUAUUGAAAUAAAAUAACUGCCUUUCUUAUAA